This 405-nucleotide ribosomal RNA is filed under the name uncultured soil bacterium. RNAcentral describes it as "bacterial SSU rRNA". It matches the Rfam family "Bacterial small subunit ribosomal RNA", at positions 26 to 451 of the family's 1533-position model. The record is from RNAcentral.
AGAACGAACGCUGGCGGCAUGCCUAAUACAUGCAAGUCGAACGAACUCUUCGGGAGUUAGUGGCGCACGGGUGCGUAACGCGUGGGAAUCUGCCCCUUGGUUCGGAAUAACAGUUGGAAACGACUGCUAAUACCGGAUGAUGACGAAAGUCCAAAGAUUUAUCGCCAAGGGAUGAGCCCGCGUAGGAUUAGCUAGUUGGUGAGGUAAAGGCUCACCAAGGCAACGAUCUUUAGCUGGUCUGAGAGGAUGAUCAGCCACACUGGGACUGAGACACGGCCCAGACUCCUACGGGAGGCAGCAGUAGGGAAUAGUGGACAAGUGGGCGAAAGCCUAGAUCCAGCAAGUCGCCGCGUGAGUGAGUGGAAGGUCCGUUAGGGUUGUAAAGUCUUUACCUUUUACCGAGUA